This is a small nuclear RNA of Pan troglodytes (chimpanzee), 105 nucleotides long. Lineage: Eukaryota; Metazoa; Chordata; Mammalia; Primates; Hominidae. The record is from Rfam.
GUGCUUACUUCAGCAGCACAUAUACUAAAAUUGGAAAGAUACAGAGAAGAUACACGGCAGCUGUGCAAGGAUAACACGCAAAUUUGUGAAGCGUUCUAUAUUUUU